Molecule: long non-coding RNA, 1475 nt
Filed under: Anolis carolinensis (green anole)
Lineage: Eukaryota; Metazoa; Chordata; Lepidosauria; Squamata; Anolidae
Description: lncRNA (ENSACAG00000045187.1)
Source: RNAcentral
CACCAUUCAAGAAGGAUAUCAACAAAUUGGAAGUUGUCCGAAGAAGAGCCACCAAAAUGAACAAAGAUCUGGAAGGCAAGCCCUCUGAGGAACGACCAAGAGAGCUGGGUAUGUUUAGCUUUGAGAAAAGAAGAUUGAUAGUCAUGUCUAAAUAUUUGAAAGGAUGUCACAUUGAGGAAGGAGCAAGCUUGUUUUCUGCUGCCCUGGAGACUAGGACACGGAACAAUGGCUUCAAACUACAGGAAAGGAGAUUCCACCUGAACAUUAGGAAGAACUUCCUCACAGUGAGGGCUGUUCGGCAGUAGAGCUAUCUCUGCCCCGGACUGUGGUGGAGGUUCCUUCUUUGGAAGCUUUUAAGCAGAGGCUGGAUGGCCAUCUGUCAGGGGUGGUUUGGAUGCAAUUUCCUGCUUCUUGGCAGGGGGUUGGACUGGAUGGCCCAUGAGGUCUCUUCCAACUCUAUUAUUCUAUGAUCCUAUGAUUCUAUGAAUUGCAUUCUAAGCUAAUUGUCUGAAAUGUUGUGUAUCUUGCUCACAGUGGCAACAAGGUGAGCAUGAUUUUUUUAAGUUCAAGUAGAAAAGCACACUCUCCUUGUUUGUGCUCAGCUUACCUCAAUUGCUGCAAAUUGAGUACAAAAUUCAAAAGGAACUCAAUGAAUUCAAUGGAGAGAGAGACGAGAAGAGGGGCAGAAUCAUGCCUUCCCAGGAGACUUAGGAAAAAAGAAACUGCUGCAGUCCUUUCUGACUUUGUGAGUACUUCCUUAUCAUAAUACUUGUCAUUUUGACCUCACACUGAUAUUACUUGGCCAUACAUAUCCAGUUUUCAUCUGUUAAGUGUAUGAGGGCAGUGUUAGCCUUGGGGGGGUAAGCCAAAAAGAUGUGAUUUCCAUGACUACUUAGACUCAAUUUAACCCUCUCUGGGGGAGAUUCCACCAAAAGUCAGCAGAGUAGCAAAAGCAAAACUUUCAAAUGCAGCAGUUACUUACACGGGGUGAGCAAAGAGAAGCCUUUGACCAUUUAGGAUUGCAAUGGACUGCAGAGUCUCAAUAAAAGUUCAAUAAGUAUUUAUUCAGGUAAAAAGAACUCCAUUGUAGAUAGAAAGGCUUGGGAGCUGUCUAGUCUACUCUAGACUGGUUUCUAAGGGAAAAUAAGAAAGGAAAAAUAACAAGCAUCUAAGUUACAUCUUGCCAGGAGAUAUGGCAGGACGUGUUAUUAGCUUGAAGAACAAAGGGAGAAGAAAGAACCAAAAUGGUUCCAACCUCAUGGUCCCCCGAUUGUGGAACUCACUGCCCAUUGAGAUUAGGCAAGCCCCCACAUUAGUAGCCUUCAAGAAAGACUUGAAAACAUGGCUCUUCCGUUGUGCUUUUGGAGAGUAACUAUGUUAUAUUUCUUUUCCGUUGCUCCCUCUAAUAUCUAUCCUCUAGAUUACACCACUUCCUUAUGACCCUGUUCACUAUGGUUUUUAUUCUUAUGUCUUUC